UGGGGAAUAUUGCACAAUGGGCGCAAGCCUGAUGCAGCCAUGCCGCGUGUGUGAAGAAGGCCUUCGGGUUGUAAAGCACUUUCAGCGAGGAGGAAGGUGGUGAGCUUAAUACGCUCAUCAAUUGACGUUACUCGCAGAAGAAGCACCGGCUAACUCCGUGCCAGCAGCCGCAGUAAUACGGAGGGUGCAAGCGUUAAUCGGAAUUACUGGGCGUAAAGCGCACGCAGGCGGUUUGUUAAGUCAGAUGUGAAAUCCCCGGGCUCAACCUGGGAACUGCAUUUGAAACUGGCAAGCUAGAGUCUCGUAGAGGGGGGUAGAAUUCCAGGUGUAGCGGUGAAAUGCGUAGAGAUCUGGAGGAAUACCGGUGGCGAAGGCGGCCCCCUGGACGAAGACUGACGCUCAGGUGCGAAAGCGUGGGGCAGCAAACAGGAUUAGAUACCCUGGUAGUCCACGCUGUAAACGAUGUCGAUUUUGGAGGUUGUGCCCUUGAGGCGUGGCUUCCGGAGCUAACGCGUUAAAUCGACCGCCUGGGGAGUACGGCCGCAAGGUUAAAACUCAAAUGAAUUG
RNAcentral lists this ribosomal RNA (567 nucleotides) under uncultured bacterium. Its description in RNAcentral is "partial 16S ribosomal RNA". It matches the Rfam family "Bacterial small subunit ribosomal RNA", at positions 355 to 912 of the family's 1533-position model. The record is from RNAcentral.